AUGGAUUCAGGGGGAUGUUCUUCAAGAAAUGUUGGGGAACCAUCAAGCAUUCGAUCAUGGGGGGUCAUUCAACGCUUCGACUCUUUACACACCUCCAACCUCCAGUGGCUAAAAUCGGCUAACGUUGUUCUGCUGCCAAAGAAAGAUGGUGCAGAAGGCAUCUCUGAUUAUAGGCCCAUUAGUCUCAUCCCAGCCAUCACUAAUAUCAUUGCCAAGAAUCUCUCGCUUCGGCUUGCUCCCCACAUGGAUGAUCUUGUCUCCAACACCCAGAGUGCAUUCAUCAAAAGAAGAAGUAUCCACGACAACUUCAUGUAUUUUCGAAUUUUCGCCCUACGUCUACACACCUGCAAAACGCACGCACUCCUCUUCAAGUUUGAUAUAAAGAAGGAGUUCGACUCAGUCAAGUGGGGAUACAUCCUGGAGCUUCUCCAACGGUUGGGCUUCCCCCCAAAUUUCUGGGAUUGGAUUGCCGCCUUGUUAUCAUCUUCUUCAUCUUGGAUUAUGUUAAAUGGGUUGCCCUACCUUCCGGUUAAGCACGGUCGCGGAUUCCGACAGGGGGACCCCAUUUCCCCCUCCUCUUCGUGCUGGCAAUACACCCCUUGCAUAAGAUCCUCUACUUGGCGACGAGGAAAGGGCUCCUCCACAAGAUCCGUGGUCGGGGAUCCAUGGUGUGUACCUCCCUUUAUGCGGAUGACGCGGCGGUCUUUGUUGCUCCCAUCAAGCGGGACAUGGACAAUCUCGCCUCUAUCUUGA
RNAcentral lists this ribosomal RNA (753 nucleotides) under Triticum aestivum (bread wheat). Its description in RNAcentral is "partial small subunit ribosomal RNA". The record is from RNAcentral. Lineage: Eukaryota; Viridiplantae; Streptophyta; Magnoliopsida; Poales; Poaceae.